CAGGCUUAACACAUGCAAGUCGAGGGGCAGCAUGGUCUUAGCUUGCUAAGGCCGAUGGCGACCGGCGCACGGGUGAGUAACGCGUAUCCAACCUGCCUUACACUCUUGGACAGCCUUCUGAAAGGGAGAUUAAUACAAGAUGUUAUCAUGAGUAAGCAUUUUCGCAUGAUUAAAGGUUUACCGGUGUAAGAUGGGGAUGCGUUCCAUUAGAUAGUAGGCGGGGUAACGGCCCACCUAGUCUUCGAUGGAUAGGGGUUCUGAGAGGAAGGUCCCCCACAUUGGAACUGAGACACGGUCCAAACUCCUACGGGAGGCAGCAGUGAGGAAUAUUGGUCAAUGGACGAGAGUCUGAACCAGCCAAGUAGCGUGAAGGAUGAAGGUUCUAUGGAUUGUAAACUUCUUUUAUACGGGAAUAAACGGAUCCACGUGUGGAUUUUUGCAUGUACCGUAUGAAUAAGGAUCGGCUAACUCCGUGCCAGCAGCCGCGGUAAUACGGAGGAUCCGAGCGUUAUCCGGAUUUAUUGGGUUUAAAGGGAGCGUAGAUGGGUUGUUAAGUCAGUUGUGAAAGUUUGCGGCUCAACCGUAAAAUUGCAAUUGAUACUGGCAGUCUUGAGUACAGUUGAGGUAGGCGGAAUUCGUGGUGUAGCGGUGAAAUGCUUAGAUAUCACGAAGAACUCCGAUUGCGAAGGCAGCUUACUAACCUGUAACUGACAUUGAUGCUCGAAAGUGUGGGUAUCAAACAGGAUUAGAUACCCUGGUAGUCCACACGGUAAACGAUGAAUACUCGCUGUAGGCGAUAUACAGUCUGCGGCCAAGCGAAAGCAUUAAGUAUUCCACCUGGGGAGUACGCCGGCAACGGUGAAACUCAAAGGAAUUGACGGGGGCCCGCACAAGCGGAGGAACAUGUGGUUUAAUUCGAUGAUACGCGAGGAACCUUACCCGGGCUUAAAUUGCAACCGAAUAUGGCGGAAACGCUAUAGCUAGCAAUAGCGGUUGUGAAGGUGCUGCAUGGUUGUCGUCAGCUCGUGCCGUGAGGUGUCGGCUUAAGUGCCAUAACGAGCGCAACCCUUGCCGAUAGUUACUAACAGGUCAUGCUGAGGACUCUGUCGGGACUGCCAUCGUAAGAUGUGAGGAAGGUGGGGAUGACGUCAAAUCAGCACGGCCCUUACGUCCGGGGCUACACACGUGUUACAAUGGGGGGUACAGAGGGCUGCUACCACGCAAGUGGAUGCCAAUCCCAAAAACCUCUCUCAGUUCGGAUUGAAGUCUGCAACCCGACUUCAUGAAGCUGGAUUCGCUAGUAAUCGCGCAUCAGCCACGGCGCGGUGAAUACGUUCCCGGGCCUUGUACACACCGCCCGUCAAGCCAUGGGAGCCGGGGGUACCUGAAGUGCGUAACCGCAAGGAGCGCCCUAGGGUAAAACUGGUGACUGGGGCUA
This 1438-nucleotide ribosomal RNA is filed under the name uncultured organism. Its description in RNAcentral is "16S ribosomal RNA". It matches the Rfam family "Bacterial small subunit ribosomal RNA". The record is from RNAcentral.